This 1744-nucleotide long non-coding RNA is filed under the name Triticum aestivum (bread wheat). RNAcentral's name for it is "long non-coding RNA (TAES_LNC007348)". Lineage: Eukaryota; Viridiplantae; Streptophyta; Magnoliopsida; Poales; Poaceae. The record is from RNAcentral.
AAUAUUACACAGUUUCAUCAUAGGUAGCAAGUUUCACAAACUCAAAACAAAAACUAAAGACAAGCACUCCAUCAACCCAAGCUUCCGUGAUCUGAAGCAAAUCUACAAAAUGGCAAAGAAGAAAGUUAGAAGAAGACUAGAAGAAGAAGACUACAAUUGAACAUGUACUGAAGGAGUACUCUAGUAGGAGUGCAUGUACAGGCUCAGUAAACUGCUAUGGUUGUCGAAAGUGUUAGGAAAAAAGUGCUAUGGUGAUGUACUAAACAAUCAACCUAAAAUUAAAUCUCCAUUUAUGCCUUUUAAUGCUCCUUGUGUGCAUUCUUUUGUAAUCUUGAUCAAUUGAUCAAUCUUACACACGGAGCAUCGUACCAUUUGGUCAGUUCAGAUUUAUGCAUUUCCACACUCCAUUUGUACAGACUCCAUUUCAACAAAAAAGGAUAAAUAAAUGCUUCGAGGCGUCCAAAUUAACAUCAGCAUCAGUACUAUCAAUACAUUAACGGCGACACUUUUUUUCUUUCUGAAAUCAAUACUUAAACUUUCGAAGAACAACCUAUAUGUUUUGUUCAAUACACAGAUCAAUAUGUGUUGACAAUUGAAAUGCAGAGACACAAAAUGGCAGAAUCUUACUACACAUAAUGUUAACAUAAUGGCAUAAUCUUACUGCACAUUAUUUUGCUUCAGAGACAAAUGGUUCCAAAAAGAUCAAGAAAAUAAUUUACUAAAUCUGCAUAAAUUAAAAACAUGGACAUGCUGCUUAUGGUCUGCUACUUUCCCCUGACAUAGUUUCAUAUUUGAAGCAUGAAAAUGUACUCCUGUAGGAGCAAGAAGAGCUUACAUAUGAUCCAUAUGGCAAGGGUGACUUGACGCCAUUACGAAGACCUCGCCGUACACCCGCUCGGUGCCGCACAGCCUCCCUGAGAGCAGUGAGAGAGCGAAUGGCAUCAAUUAGUGAGCUCAAAACCAGUUCAGUCAGUAGCAGGGUGGAGCAGUGUAGUGUGACACCACUUGAUAUAUUAGUGGUUUUCAGUAAAAAAAUGUUUGCAGAAUGUCAUCAUGCUGUAGAACUUUGCAAAACUCCCUCAAGUUUCAGUGUAAAAUGUCUGCAGAAUUGAGUUGCAAACAUAUUCCCUCCGCUGCUCCAAACUUUUACAAAUAUUUGGAAGUUUCAAUGUUUGUGGUAACUCACCAAAAAAUGUUCAUCUACAAAUGUUGUCUAUACUCACAAGUUUCAGCCUACAACAGGAUGAAUCAACAACUAAUGCAUCUACAGCAAGAUACUCACAACUUCAUCAACAACAGGAUAGUCACAAGUUCAUCUAGUACAACAUGAUGCAUCUAUAGCAAGAAUGUUCAGCACUAGCUCACCUCACAACUUGUUAACUGAUAUGAAAGCAUAGAUUUCUAACUGAUCAACUGUCCGGCUUAACUAAAAAAGCAUGUUAUCCACUUAGACAAUUGAAAAUGACUAAACCUAGAUUUUCAGCUCACAAGAUUUGGAGAAACAAUGAAGAACUGCUCAUUACUGCACAUUACCCCCAAGAAACAAGGAAGAACUACUCAUUCAGACUUGAACUACUCAUAAUAGACUUGGGGAGCACUUGGGCUAGAAGAAUGAGGCCGAUGAGUGCACCUGGAGGAGGGAGACACGCAUGCCGCAGUAGCCCUGCAGCGGAGGAGCUGCCGUCGUUGGUGAGUCGCUGAAGACGGCAUGGUGCUGCAGCAGCGAAGCCAGCCACAGCUUGGG